UCNUGGGAUAACACUGACGUUCAUGCCCGAAAGCGUGGGUAGCAAACAGGAUUAGAUACCCUGGUAGUNCACGCCCUAAACGAUGUCGAUUAGCUGUUGGGCAGCAUGACUGCUUAGUAGCGAAGCUAACGCGUGAAAUCGACCGCCUGGGGAGUACGGUCGCAAGAUUAAAACUCAAAGGAAUUGACGGGGACCCGCACAAGCGGUGGAUGAUGUGGAUUAAUUCGAUGCAACGCGAAGAGCCUUACCUGGUCUUGACAUGUACGGAACCCUCCAGAGACGGAGGGGUGCCUUCGGGAGCCGUAACACAGGUGCUGCAUGGCUGUCGUCAGCUCGUGUCGUGAGAUGUUGGGUUAAGUCCCGCAACGAGCGCAACCCUUGUCAUUAGUUGCCAUCAUUAAGUUGGGCACUCUAAUGAGACUGCCGGUGACAAGCCGGAGGAAGGUGGGGAUGACGUCAAGUCCUCAUGGCCCUUAUGACCAGGGCUUCACACGUCAUACAAUGGUCGGUACAGAGGGUAGCCAAGCCGCGAGGUGGAGCCAAUCUCACAAAACCGAUCGUAGUCCGGAUUGCACUCUGCAACUCGAGUGCAUGAAGUCGGAAUCGCUAGUAAUCGCAGGUCAGCAUACUGCGGUGAAUACGUUCCCGGGUCUUGUACACACCGCCCGUCACACCAUGGGAGUGGGGGAUACCAGAAGUAG
RNAcentral lists this ribosomal RNA (701 nucleotides) under uncultured bacterium. RNAcentral's name for it is "bacterial SSU rRNA". It matches the Rfam family "Bacterial small subunit ribosomal RNA", at positions 727 to 1429 of the family's 1533-position model. The record is from RNAcentral.